GCGCCCGUAGCUCAGCUGGAUAGAGCGGCGGCCUCCGGAGCCGUAGGUCGGAGGUUCGAAUCCUCUCGGGCGCGCCA
Molecule: transfer RNA, 77 nt
Filed under: Myxococcales bacterium
Lineage: Bacteria; Pseudomonadati; Myxococcota; Myxococcia; Myxococcales
Description: tRNA-Arg
Rfam family: tRNA
About the family: Transfer RNA (tRNA) molecules are approximately 80 nucleotides in length. Their secondary structure includes four short double-helical elements and three loops (D, anti-codon, and T loops).
Source: RNAcentral